ACGGAGAGUUUGAUCCUGGCUCAGGAUGAACGCUAGCGGCAGGCCUAAUACAUGCAAGUCGAACGAGAUUCUUUUCUUCGGAGAAGAUGAAAGUGGCGCACGGGUGCGUAACGCGUAUGCAACCUACCUCUUACUGGGGGAUAGCCCGAAGAAAUUCGGAUUAAUCCCUUAUAGUAUUGUCACUUCGCAUGUUGCGACAAUUAAAGGUUACGGUACAAGAUGAUCAUGCGUCCCAUUAGCUAGAUGG
Molecule: ribosomal RNA, 247 nt
Filed under: Alexandrium margalefii
Lineage: Eukaryota; Dinophyceae; Gonyaulacales; Pyrocystaceae
Description: partial Bacterial small subunit ribosomal RNA
Rfam family: Bacterial small subunit ribosomal RNA
Source: RNAcentral